Molecule: transfer RNA, 74 nt
Filed under: Candidatus Kaiserbacteria bacterium RIFCSPLOWO2_01_FULL_54_24
Lineage: Bacteria; Candidatus Kaiseribacteriota
Description: tRNA-Gln
Rfam family: tRNA
About the family: Transfer RNA (tRNA) molecules are approximately 80 nucleotides in length.
Source: RNAcentral
UGCGGGAUCGUCUAAUGGUAGGACGGCGCCCUCUGGAGGCGUCUAUCUUGGUUCGAGUCCAAGUCCCGCAGCCA